GUCCACACUGUAAACGAUGAAUACUAGGUGUGCGGGACUGACCCCUGCGUGCCGCAGUAAACACAAUAAGUAUUCCACCUGGGGAGUACGAUCGCAAGGUUGAAACUCAAAGGAAUUGACGGGGCCCGCACAAGCGGUGGAUUAUGUGGUUUAAUUCGAAGCAACGCGAAGAACCUUACCAGGGCUUGACAUCCUACUAACGAAGUAGAGAUACAUCAGGUGCCCUUCGGGGAAAGUAGAGACAGGUGGUGCAUGGUUGUCGU
This 263-nucleotide ribosomal RNA is filed under the name uncultured bacterium. RNAcentral's name for it is "partial 16S ribosomal RNA". It matches the Rfam family "Bacterial small subunit ribosomal RNA", at positions 793 to 1055 of the family's 1533-position model. The record is from RNAcentral.